This 117-nucleotide ribosomal RNA is filed under the name Danio rerio (zebrafish). Lineage: Eukaryota; Metazoa; Chordata; Actinopteri; Cypriniformes; Danionidae. The record is from RNAcentral.
CUGAAUCGCCAUAUCACUCUGCAGCCCAAGACUGGUUACUCACUGAAGCUAAGCAGGGCUGAGCCUGGUCAGUACCUGGAUGGGAGACCACAUGGGAAAACUAGGUUGAUGUUGGAA